GACAGCAGCAGCCACGGGAAUACAGAGGGUGCGAGCGUUAAUCGGAUUUACUGGGCGUAAAGCGUGCGUAGGCGGCUUUUUAAGUCGGAUGUGAAAUCCCUGAGCUUAACUUAGGAAUUGCAUUCGAUACUGGGAAGCUAGAGUAUGGGAGAGGAUGGUAGAAUUCCAGGUGUAGCGGUGAAAUGCGUAGAGAUCUGGAGGAAUACCGAUGGCGAAGGCAGCCAUCUGGCCUAAUACUGACGCUGAGGUACGAAAGCAUGGGGAGCAAACAGGAUUAGAUACCCCUGUAGUCCCUGUCUCUUAUAC
This 306-nucleotide ribosomal RNA is filed under the name uncultured bacterium. Its description in RNAcentral is "partial 16S ribosomal RNA". It matches the Rfam family "Bacterial small subunit ribosomal RNA", at positions 507 to 807 of the family's 1533-position model. The record is from RNAcentral.